GGGUGCAGUACCUUUAAACCAAUCAAGAAUCAUUUAAUCAUAUGUUCAAGAUAUGCAAACUCAAAAAGUAAGGCUGGUUAAUACAUUAGUUGCAUACUGAAGAACAAAUGAAAAUUUGGUUGUCAUCACUCAUCAUCACCCCAGGCAUCAUGCUUCAAGUUUUGUCUUGAAACUAUCCGGUUCUUCCUGGCUUCCUCCUGUCUCCUAUAUUCUCUGGACCCAAAGUCUGUAGAAGGCAACUUUAUACCCAUACUUUGAGCAAUCAGCCUCUGGGCGGUUCUAGCUGAUGUCUGAGGUCUUCUACGAGGAGGCUCCAGAUCUCUUGGUGGAAUUGAGUUCAAAAGUUCAUCUUCCUCGCACAGUACCCUCACUGUAAAUGGACAAUGUAUCGAGUUGCUGGCCUCUAAUGCAAGGGUUGGUGUUCUGAACACUGCAAGUGCAACUGUA
Molecule: unclassified non-coding RNA, 447 nt
Filed under: Hevea brasiliensis (rubber tree)
Lineage: Eukaryota; Viridiplantae; Streptophyta; Magnoliopsida; Malpighiales; Euphorbiaceae
Source: RNAcentral